This 481-nucleotide ribosomal RNA is filed under the name uncultured bacterium. Its description in RNAcentral is "partial 16S ribosomal RNA". It matches the Rfam family "Bacterial small subunit ribosomal RNA", at positions 30 to 506 of the family's 1533-position model. The record is from RNAcentral.
AUUGAACGCUGGCGGCAUGCCUUACACAUGCAAGUCGAACGGUAACAGGUCUUCGGAUGCUGACGAGUGGCGAACGGGUGAGUAAUACAUCGGAACGUGCCCGAUCGUGGGGGAUAACGAGGCGAAAGCUUUGCUAAUACCGCAUACGAUCUACGGAUGAAGGCGGGGGAUCUUCGGACCUCGCGCGGACGGAGCGGCCGAUGGCAGAUUAGGUAGUUGGUGGGAUAAAAGCUUACCAAGCCGACGAUCUGUAGCUGGUCUGAGAGGAUGAUCAGCCACACUGGGACUGAGACACGGCCCAGACUCCUACGGGAGGCAGCAGUGGGGAAUUUUGGACAAUGGGCGAAAGCCUGAUCCAGCCAUGCCGCGUGCAGGAUGAAGGCCUUCGGGUUGUAAACUGCUUUUGUACGGAACGAAAAGCCUCUUUCUAAUAAAGAGGGGUCAUGACGGUACCGUAAGAAUAAGCACCGGCUAACUACGU